This 713-nucleotide ribosomal RNA is filed under the name uncultured eukaryote. Its description in RNAcentral is "eukaryotic LSU rRNA". It matches the Rfam family "Eukaryotic large subunit ribosomal RNA", at positions 1 to 655 of the family's 3401-position model. The record is from RNAcentral.
UUGCCCUGAGAUCAAGCAAGGCUACCCGCUGAAUUUAAGCAUAUAACUAAGCGGAGGAAAAGAAACUAACAAGGAUUCCCUCAGUAACGGCGAGUGAAGCGGGAAGAGCUCAAGCCUAGAAUCUGCAUGCUUCGCAUGCCGAAUUGUAGUCUAUCGAGUUGUCGUUCUCCGGCGGCGCAGGUAUAAGUCUUUUGGAACAAGGCAUCAUAGAGGGUGAGAAUCCCGUUUGUGACUUGCGUUCGUCCGGUCUUGUAUCGACUUCUUGGCGAGUCAGGUUGUUUGAGAUUGCAGCCUUAAAUGGGUGGUAAAUUUCAUCUAAAGCUAAAUAUAGGCGAGAGACCGAUAGCGAACAAGUACCGUGAGGGAAAGAUGCAAAGAACUUUGAAAAGAGAGUUAAAAAGUGCUUGAAAUUGUUAGGAGGGAAGCGGAUCGAACCAGUGCUGCGCAUUGAGUCUCAGCAGCUUGGCGCUGCUAUACUACUUACUGUGCAUGCCAGCAUCAGUUGUUCGGCAGUACAAAGCCCAUUCCUGACCAGGUUUGUGGUGCUGCUGCUGAUAAGACUGAGGAGUUCGUUGGGCGCUUUAUGCGUUACUUUGGCUUUCAGUGCGCACCAUUUCUGGGACUACAAGUAGUGCCAGUUGUGGUCGUGUGCUCUGGUUGAAGUUUUCUGCCCGGCGGCGAUGUUGGCAAAAUGGUUCGCUCCGGCCCGUCUU